ACGUUGUACUAUAGCUGGUGGA
This 22-nucleotide non-coding RNA is filed under the name Arabidopsis thaliana (thale cress). The record is from RNAcentral. Lineage: Eukaryota; Viridiplantae; Streptophyta; Magnoliopsida; Brassicales; Brassicaceae.